CCUACGGGGGGCAGCAGUGAGGAAUAUUGGUCAAUGGGCGCGAGCCUGAACCAGCCAAGUAGCGUGAAGGAUGACUGCCCUACGGGUUGUAAACUUCUUUUAUAAAGGAAUAAAGUGAGGCACGUGUGCCUUUUUGUAUGUACUUUACGAAUACGGAUCGGCUAACUCCGUGCCAGCAGCCGCGGUAAUACGGAGGAUACGAGCGUUAUCCGGAUUUAUUGGGUUUAAAGGGAGCGUAGAUGGGUUGUUAAGUCAGUUGUGAAAGUUUGCGGCUCAACCGUAAAAUUGCAAUUGAUACUGGCAGGCUUGAGUACAGUUGAGGUAGGCGGAAUGGGUGGUGUAGCGGUGAAAUGCUUAGAGAUCACGAAGAACUCCGAUUGCGAAGGCAGCUUACUAAACUGCCACUGACAUUGAUGCUCGAAAGUGUGGGUAUCAAACAGGAUUAGAUACCCGAGUAGUC
RNAcentral lists this ribosomal RNA (460 nucleotides) under uncultured bacterium. RNAcentral describes it as "partial 16S ribosomal RNA". It matches the Rfam family "Bacterial small subunit ribosomal RNA", at positions 338 to 795 of the family's 1533-position model. The record is from RNAcentral.